GGUGUGGUAGCUCAGUGGCAGAGCGGCUGAUUGCAGAUCAGCAGGUCGGUGGUUCAAUCCCGCCCCACACCU
This is a non-coding RNA of Seminavis robusta, 72 nucleotides long. NCBI's taxonomy places the organism in Eukaryota, Bacillariophyta, Bacillariophyceae, Naviculales, Naviculaceae. The record is from the annotation of a GenBank genome assembly.